Molecule: ribosomal RNA, 497 nt
Filed under: uncultured bacterium
Lineage: Bacteria
Description: partial 16S ribosomal RNA
Rfam family: Bacterial small subunit ribosomal RNA
Source: RNAcentral
GAUGAACGCUGGCGGCGUGCCUAAUACAUGCAAGUCGAGCGAACAGACGAGGAGCUUGCUCCUCUGACGUUAUCGGCGGACGGGUGAGUAACACGUGGAUAACCCACCUAUAAGACUGGGAUAACUUCGGGAAACCGGAGCUAAUACCGGAUAAUAUAUUGAACCGCAUUGUUCAAUAGUGAAAGACGGUUUUGCUGUCACUUAUAGAUUGAUCCGCGCCGCAUUAGCUAGUUGGUAAGGUAACGGCUUACCAAGGCAACGAUGCGUAGCCGACCUGAGAGGGUGAUCGGCCACACUGGAACUGAGAAACGGUCCAGACACCUACGGGAGGCAGCAGUAGGGAAUCUUACGCAAUGGGCGAAAGCCUGACGGAGCAACGCCGCGUGAGUGAUGAAGGUCUUCGGAUCGUAAAACUCUGUUAGUAGGGAAGAACAAAUGUGUAAGUAACUAGGCACGUCUUGACGGUACCUAAACAGAAAGCCACGGCUAACUACGUG